This 2465-nucleotide long non-coding RNA is filed under the name Homo sapiens (human). RNAcentral describes it as "HSALNT0352314". The record is from RNAcentral. Lineage: Eukaryota; Metazoa; Chordata; Mammalia; Primates; Hominidae.
ACUGUGGCAGGAGCAGUGGCGCUGAGCGUGCCCACGGGCCGCGGCUUGGGUCUCUCUCAUUUUCCAGGUGGUAUGGCCGUGGACAAUGGCAGUGGCGCCUGGCUGGCCCAAGAGCCCAGUCCAGCUACGCCUGCCUGAUUCCAGGCGUCACCACCAACCCGGGGGCCGCGAGGCUGGGAUCAGGCACCCCGGAGCCGCUUGCCUGUGGCCGGGCUGCUCUCCCCCUCUACGCCCAAGCACCACCAUCGCCGCGCUGCGCUUUCCGCCGACCUCCCAGAGCGUCCCGAUGUCGCCGGCGGCCAGACCAUGCGCGAGACAGCCCAGGCGCCAGAGACCUCCAUCCCCUGCCAGGGCUCUGGACUCUCCAGGCGGCCACCCUCUCGCUGGGACUCCAGGCCUUCCCCAGGCUCUUGAGCUCCCGAGCUUCCAACACCUGGGGCCCGCUUAGGACGGGGUGUGCUCCGAGGCGUCAGGGCCCAGGGCCCACGGUCCUGGGGUCCCCUCCGGUCCUCCGCCUUGCCGCGGAAAAAUUAUUUUGGAUUCCUCACCGCCCCUCCUGCAAGGCCCCCUCUUGCCCCACACACCCAGAGCCGCCAGGGCUGCCCAGGGGCGAACAGCCGGCCCAGCCCCACAGGCCCUUUUUCUCACAAUGCUCACACCAUCGUCGCUUGUUCUGAGGAGGACCCGCCAUGGCCAAAGGGGCAAGAAGGCUCUGCUUUGCCCCGCCCUGGCACUAGAGCCCCGGCAGCCUCAUCCCGGGAAAGAGGGGCUGACGGACACCCAGACACACCCCACCACUACCACGAGCAAACCCACCCUGACACACCCACGGAUACACACGGGUGCAUGCGCGCAGACACACACACACACCACACCCGGGCACACACACACGGACACACAAAGACACAGACACAGAUAGCUCAAAGGGAGACCUCCCCUCAUAUUGUCUUAUGCCCAAUUUCUGCCUCCAAAGAAAGAAGAAGUAAAAUCUAAAAGGCAGAAAUGAAAUCCACAGGCAGACAGCCCCGCGCCACACCCUGGGCCUGGUAGUUAAAGAUCGAUCCCUGACCUACUCGGUUAUGUUAUCUAUAGAUUACAGACAUUGUAUAGAAAAGCACUGUGAAAAUCCCUGUCCUGUUUUGUUCUGAUCUAAUUACCUGUGCAUGCAGCCCCCAGUCACGUACCCUCUGCUUCCUCAAUCCAUCAAGACCCUCUCACGCGGACCCCCUUAGAGUUGUAAGCCCUUAAGAGGGACAGGAAUUGCUCACUCGGAGAGCUUGGUUUUUGGAGACGUGAGUCUGCGGAUGCUCCCAGCUGAAUAAAGCCCUUCCUUCUACAACUCGGUGUCUGAGGGGUUCUGUCUGCAGCUCCUCCUGCUGCAGAAGGAGAGCAAGGGAGAGAGGGAUGGAGAAAUAGAACCAGAGGGAGAGAGAGAGACAGCGAUAGAGAGAGAGAGAGAGAGACAGAAAAGGGGGGAGGAGAGAGAGAGGGGGGAAGAGAGAGCACCACAGUAGAGCGCGAGGUGGAGGGGGAAGUAGAGAAAGGGAGAGGGUGAGGGAGUUGUGGAGCGACAGCGACAGAGCCUUGGAGAGGGAGGCUCUGCUCAGGUAGACAGGGCACCUUUCAGCAGGCCGGGGUGUGGUGGAGGGUUCUUGGGCCGGGCUAGAACAGGGGGUCAGGGCCCCCCACCCAGGAAAACCAAUGGAGCCCUGAGACUUGUUUUUUUCCUUGGAUUGGUUGGUUGCUUUGGGGGUGCGUUUCAUAAGGUCCUUCCUUUGUUUGCUUCUUUCUGUCUCCUUGAUGCGGUGGGCCCCGAGAUUUGUAGAGUGUGCUCGUGUGUCUGGCAGGAGCCGUGGCGCCGAGCCUGUCCACGGGGCGAGGCCUGGGUCUCUCUCCUGUCCUCCGGACUGGAGUUUACACGAAGUCGGUGGCAUUGGGAAACAGGGUGCACAGGGACGGAUUUCCUCGUGGCUGGCGAAGAAAAUGUCCUUCCUCUGGGGAAAGCAGCCCUCGGGUUCUGGAGCGGAGGUCUUGGCUGGGGUCUGUGGCACCCGCUGCCCCUGCUCGCCCCUCCCACCGGCUUGGACGGUUGCAGUGACGCUGAAUGAAUGAAUACAAUUGCCUGGGAGUCCGGGGAGCGUGAAGAGACCCGGGACCUCAGGGAACCCGCGCCUGCACCCUCGGGGUCGGUCCCGUCCCGCCCGGGUUGGGUGGGGCUGCCGCGAGUCGGAAGAGGUGGGAUGCUGCUGCCUGGCGGUGCUGCAGUGGCGGAUCUUCAGGAGGAGGAUUUGUCCCCAGUGCCUUAUUUAGUUCACUUGGUGAGGUCAUGUUUUCCUGGAUGGUGUUGAUGCUAGUAGAUGUUCUUCAGUGUCUGGACAUUAAAAUCUUGGGCAUGCAGCACCAUAUGAGAAGUUUAAAAAAUAAAAUUUAAAGAGAGAAAAGGCUUUGGUAUCAGGAUGAUUCUG